AAUAGAUCUGUGCUUAGUCUCUUUUCUAGCCUAACCUCUACACAUACAACACAAGAUCAGUGCUGCACCUAACCUGGACUUCAAUAUAUCCUGAAGACAGGUACUCACUGCAACACUGGAAAUAAACCAUCUAAAAGAAGAGGGUCUGUGUGCCCAUAUCUGAGGCAGCUCUGAGCUCUGCUCUGGCCUUGACCAACAGUAGCAGGAAUCUUUCAUCAAGGUGGACCUUCACUUGCCCAGAACAAGGGGAAAAAAGCAGUUCUGCAUGAAGCUAAGUAUGACUCAGCAUGGCCAUGGCUCAUCAUCCAAAAAAAAAAAAAAAGUUAAUAAGAAAAAAAAAAAAGGUCUCCUACUGAAAGAAAAUAAUAUUUAUUCCCUCUCAGUAGGUGAUUUUCUCUGAGGUCAGCCAGGAAUGGCAUACAUCUGAAGGCAAUAUGGGAAGUACUGACUGCCAAGAUGAAGACUGUGUCUUUUCUGUGGGUGAGUUGUGGAUUUGAGUUCUCAGACCAGCUAUUUUGGCACCUUGCAGAAGGAAAUUAAAAAUGUCAACUGUUUCCUGGCGAUAACAUGUGGACAGUGUAUUCAACAUGGAUGAGUCCCUCCAGUUAAGGAUUUCAUUCAAAUUAGGCCCAAGAUUCUGUGAUUUGGAAAGCCCACAUUAGGAUGCAUCAUUUGAUGGCAAGAGCUACUUACAUCUACGUGCACUAAGAUAAAAUUGGGUAAGCCAUAUGUGUAGCUGGACUAAUGGGAAGAUUUACUCCACAGCUCCCCACCAUCCUGCUCCUCCCUCAGCUGAAUUUGGAGCCUGGCCAGUGAUUCUCAUCUGGAGUGCAUGCCUCAAUUUCUUCCCUACAGGAGUGUAGGGCUUACAGUAGGAAACACUAUGCUUACCUUCUUCUUACUGGCAUGAAAACAUGAGUGGAGCACUCACUAGAUAAUGGUCUUUUAUCAGGAACCACAGUUUCUGAUGCAGUCUCUGGAAAUGUAUGUGUCAUAAGGACACUGCUCUAAUAAUGCUUGUAAACAUUAAUCAGUUUCAUAGAUGCAGUCCUAUCAAUUGCUCCACUGUGGUAUCCACUGAUUGCUCCUAAAGAACACUCGUCUCCCAUUCACUAAUAUUGUAAAAAAGAUUGUCCUGUAUUGUUGGUUAUCCUUAGAUUUUGGGGAGGAAAAAUCACUGAACUCUUUGUUCUUGCAGCUUGCAUCUCUUCUGCACUUCCUUCAAAGACGGAUUUCACUCUUCUCCUUGGGAAAAUCCCUGAACUACAUCUCUCUUCAUGUAUACACUGUAUGAGUA
This is a long non-coding RNA of Catharus ustulatus (Swainson's thrush), 1297 nucleotides long. RefSeq lists it as uncharacterized. The transcript is spliced from 7 exons. The record is from RefSeq and is a predicted model, not a curated record. NCBI's taxonomy places the organism in Eukaryota, Metazoa, Chordata, Aves, Passeriformes, Turdidae.